GAUGAACGCUGGCGGCGUGCCUAGUACAUGCAAGUCGAGCGAACAGACGAGGAGCUUGCUCCUCUGACGUUAGCGGCGGACGGGUGAGUAACACGUGGAUAACCUACCUAUAAGACUGGGUUAACUUCGGGAAACCGGAGCUAAUACCGGAUAAUAUAUUGAACCGCAUGGUUCAAUAGUGAAAGACGGUUUUGCUGUCACUUAUAGAUGGAUCCGCGCCGCAUUAGCUAGUUGGUAAGGUAACGGCUUACCAAGGCGACGAUGCGUAGCCGACCUGAGAGGGUGAUCGGCCACACUGGAACUGAGACACGGUCCAGACUCCUACGGGAGGCAGCAGUAGGGAAUCUUCCGCAAUGGGCGAAAGCCUGACGGAGCAACGCCGCGUGAGUGAUGAAGGUCUUCGGAUCGUAAAACUCUGUUAUUAGGGAAGAACAAAUGUGUAAGUAACUAUGCACGUCUUGACGGUACCUAAUCAGAAAGCCACGGCUAACUACGUG
Molecule: ribosomal RNA, 497 nt
Filed under: uncultured bacterium
Lineage: Bacteria
Description: partial 16S ribosomal RNA
Rfam family: Bacterial small subunit ribosomal RNA
Source: RNAcentral